Molecule: ribosomal RNA, 270 nt
Filed under: uncultured bacterium
Lineage: Bacteria
Description: partial 16S ribosomal RNA
Rfam family: Bacterial small subunit ribosomal RNA
Source: RNAcentral
CCGGCGACCGGCGCACGGGUGAGUAACGCGUAUGCGACCUGUCCGUUGCAGGGGGAUAAUCGGGAGAAAUCCCGUCUAAUACCGCGUAACGCCGCGGGGCUGCAUGGCCCUGCGGCCAAAGGGAGCGAUUCCGGCAACGGAUGGGCAUGCGUGACAUUAGCUAGUUGGCGGGGCAACGGCCCACCAAGGCGACGACGUCUAGGGGUUCUGAGAGGAAGGUCCCCCACACUGGUACUGAGACACGGACCAGACUCCUACGGGAGGCAGCAG